ACUCCUACGGGAGGCAGCAGUAGGGAAUAUUGGGCAAUGGAUGCAAGUCUGACCCAGCCAUGCCGCGUGGAGGAAGAAGGUCCUCUGGAUUGUAAACUCCUUUUGUCGGGGAAGAAUAGUUCUCUUGCGAGGGAAAGUGACGGUACCCGAUGAAUAAGCCACGGCUAACUACGUGCCAGCAGCCGCGGUAAU
RNAcentral lists this ribosomal RNA (192 nucleotides) under uncultured bacterium. RNAcentral describes it as "partial 16S ribosomal RNA". It matches the Rfam family "Bacterial small subunit ribosomal RNA", at positions 335 to 524 of the family's 1533-position model. The record is from RNAcentral.